This 455-nucleotide ribosomal RNA is filed under the name Chromolaichma dalli. Its description in RNAcentral is "partial 16S ribosomal RNA". It matches the Rfam family "Archaeal large subunit ribosomal RNA", at positions 1909 to 2666 of the family's 2987-position model. Lineage: Eukaryota; Metazoa; Mollusca; Gastropoda; Nudibranchia; Chromodorididae. The record is from RNAcentral.
AGCCUUGGGAAAAGAUUUAAGGUUAUACCUGCCCAAUGUGUUUAUGUUAUGAAUGGCCGCGGUAUCUUGACCGUGCUAAGGUAGCGCAAUCAAUUGGCUCUUAAUUGGGGUCAGGAAUGAAUGGAGUUCACGGGGUUCAACUGUCUCCUAAACUAAUUACUUGAAGUUACUAUGCAGGUGAAAAAGCCUGUGCUUAGAAAAAGGACGAGAAGACCCUUAGAGUUUUUCUUAAUGUGAUAGCUAAAUAGAGGUUAUCUAUAAUGGUUUAGUUGGGGCAACAUAGGAGUAAAACAAUGAACCUCCUAAAUAUAAUGUACCGAUACUUUUAAAUGUGAAUAAACUACCUUAGGGAUAACAGCAUAAUUUUAAAAAUAAGUUUGUGACCUCGAUGUUGGACUAGGAAACUUAAAGGCUAGCCGUCUUUAAGGUAGGUUCUGUUCGAACCGUACAUUCCU